RNAcentral lists this ribosomal RNA (460 nucleotides) under uncultured bacterium. RNAcentral's name for it is "partial 16S ribosomal RNA". It matches the Rfam family "Bacterial small subunit ribosomal RNA", at positions 338 to 795 of the family's 1533-position model. The record is from RNAcentral.
CCUACGGGUGACAGCAGUGAGGAAUAUUGGUCAAUGGCCGGAAGGCUGAACCAGCCAUGCCGCGUGAAGGUCAGUGCCCUAUGGGCGUUAAACUUCUUUUGUGCGGGAGCAAUAAUGGUCACGUGUGGCCAGACGAGAGUACCGUACGAAUAAGCAUCGGCUAACUCCGUGCCAGCAGCCGCGGUAAUACGGGGGGAGCAAGCGGUAUCCGGAUUUAUUGGGGUUAAAGGGUGCGUAAGCUGGGAUGUAAGUCAACGGUGAAAUGCCUCCGCUCAACGGGGUGAAGUGCCAUUGAUACUGCCCUGCUUGAAUGCGGAUGCGGUGGGAGGAAUGUGUGGUGUAGCGGUGAAAUGCAUAGAUAUCACACAGAACACCGAUUGCGAAGGCAUCUCACGAAUCCGCGAUUGACGCUGAGGCACGAAAGCGUGGGUAUCAAACAGGAUUAGAUACCCGAGUAGUC